AAGAGCCAGGCAUAAACCGGAAGACGUCGCUUGGGUCUGCCAGUGAUUAGGCUGCUUCCGCAUGUAACCAUCUAUACUGCAAGAGAAACUGCGGGACGACGGUUGCGAAGUGGCGUAGCAAUCACAUGAUUAUUAUUAUUAUGACCAUUAUUGUCUUAUUAUGCGUCUUAUCCGUGUCACCCUAUAUUGUUAAUAAUUAGCCUAUUUAUGUUGUAAUAUCAUAUUUUGUACUAUUAGAAAGAGCGUUUGUUACAGUGCAUGUAACAUCACUGUACUUGGUUUGUGCUCAAUAAACAAGAGUUCGUUGAUACGA
Molecule: long non-coding RNA, 313 nt
Organism: Ornithodoros turicata
Lineage: Eukaryota; Metazoa; Arthropoda; Arachnida; Ixodida; Argasidae
Exons: 2
Source: RefSeq, a predicted model, not a curated record